Molecule: unclassified non-coding RNA, 219 nt
Filed under: uncultured Agaricales
Lineage: Eukaryota; Fungi; Basidiomycota; Agaricomycetes; Agaricales
Description: sequence contains ITS2
Source: RNAcentral
AUUUCUCAACCUUAAAAGCUUUUUACAAAGCUGAUUAGGCUUGGAUAUGAUGGGAGCUUUGCCAAUCUAGCGAGUUGGCUCUCCUGAAAUACAUUAGCAAGAUCAAUUGCUGAACUAUCUUUUGAUAUGAUAAUUAUCUAUAUCAUCGAUGAAACAGUGGUUUCCUUUCUGGAAAGAUCUUGCUUUCUAACUGUCUUUCGGGACAAUUCUAUGAAUCAC